UGGGCGGGAAGCUGCCGCGCGGGCCCGUCCGCCAUCUCCAGAGCGUCAGUGCCCUAAAGCCACCGCCCUCCUCGGCACUGUGAGGUACCGUCAGUGCCCCAAAGCCACCGCCCUCCUCGGCACUGUGAGGUACCGUCAGUGCCCCAAAGCCACCGCCCUCCUCGGCACUGUGAGGUACCGUCAGUGCCCUAAAGCCACCGCCCUCCUCGGCGCCGUGAGGUACCGUCAGUGCCCCAAAGCCACCGCCCUCCUCGGCACUGUGAGGUACUAUGAGAUGAACCUUCCACUCCUCACUGCUUAUGGGUCAAUCCCAGCCUGACGGUAGAACUUUUUCUCUGACAAGAACUUGUUGCAUUUGGUGCUGUUCAGCAGCAGCUUUCUGAGGUGACACCUAAGUUUCAGAUACACAGAUCUCCUUUCUUCACCUUUUUUUUUUUUUAAAAAACCACAAAACCCCUACUUCAACAAAGUAUUCUGGAUUUGAGACCAUCACUUCCAGCAAAGAUUGAACAACAGACAUUGGGAAACACUAUGAGGCUCAGACCUGCAAAGACAAGAGUUGGACAUCCCACCAGAGGAUCAAAGCUUGAAUUUUGAAAGGACUGAGGAUGAAAAGAAAAAAUACCUUUGUGUAAAUCAUCUUGAAUGCAUGGAUAAUUCCCAUGUACUUGUGUUCCCCUUUUACUUGGAACGCCAGACGAACUCUAACCAUAUCAAGAGGGUAAGUACAAAUCACUGCUGUAAUACCUUUAUUAAAAACAAAAACAAAA
Molecule: long non-coding RNA, 770 nt
Organism: Columba livia (rock pigeon)
Lineage: Eukaryota; Metazoa; Chordata; Aves; Columbiformes; Columbidae
Exons: 3
Source: RefSeq, a predicted model, not a curated record